AAAAUUAAAAUCAAACAACAUGCCUAUAUAUAUAUAUAUAAUUGAGCUUCUAUAAAAGUACUAAGUUAUUGGUGCUUGUAGAUUUUUGACUAUUGGAUUAAGAGAUGUGUGGCUAGGAUGAUGUGGGCCUCUUAGGGUUGAGUGGGUGGUUGGUUGAACAGUAUAAUCUAACGGUUAAGAAUGAUAAAAACCGUAGAUCUAACGGUAAAAAAUUUACAAAUACUAAGUGCUUGGUGUUUUUACAAGCACCAUAGCCGGACUCAUAGCUAUACAUAUUGAGGG
RNAcentral lists this long non-coding RNA (282 nucleotides) under Ananas comosus (pineapple). RNAcentral's name for it is "long non-coding RNA (ACOM_LNC036642)". The record is from RNAcentral. Lineage: Eukaryota; Viridiplantae; Streptophyta; Magnoliopsida; Poales; Bromeliaceae.